UGUAAUUUGUAGAGGAUGCUUUUGGUGAGGUGCCNCCCGAGUUCCCUGGAACGGGACGCCACAGAGGGUGAGAGCCCCGUCUGGCUGGCCACCGAGCCUCUGUAAAGCUCCUUCGACGAGUCGAGUAGUUUGGGAAUGCUGCGGGGGGGGGGGGGGGGAUAUGUCUUCUAAAGCUAAAUAUUGNCCAGAGACCGAUAGCGCACAAGUAAAGUGAUCGAAAGAUGAAAAGCACCUUGAAAAGAGGGUUAAACAGUACGUGAAAUUGUUGAAAGGGAAGCGCUUGUGACCAGACUUGGGCGCGGCGAAUCAUCCGGGGUUCUCUCCGGUGCACUUCACCGUGUUCAGGCCAGCAUCNGUUCGG
RNAcentral lists this ribosomal RNA (361 nucleotides) under soil fungal sp. DM2-210. RNAcentral's name for it is "partial 28S rRNA". It matches the Rfam family "Eukaryotic large subunit ribosomal RNA", at positions 144 to 510 of the family's 3401-position model. The record is from RNAcentral. Lineage: Eukaryota; Fungi.